GGCAAAGCUCAAAUUUGAAACCUUCGGGAUUGUAAUUUGAAGACGUGGAACCGGGAGAAAGCUAACCCAAGUUGCUUGGAAUAGUACGCCGAAGAAAAGUGACAACCCCGUCUGGCUAACCGUUCUCCAUGUAUUGCCUUAUCAAAGAGUCGAGUUGUUUGGGAAUGCAGCUCAAAGUGGGUGGUAAACUCCAUCUAAAGCUAAAUACUGGUGAGAGACCGAUAGCGAACAAGUACUGUGAAGGAAAGGUGAAAAGAACUUUGAAAAGAGAGUGAAAUAGUAUGUGAAAUUGUUGAUAGGGAAGGAAAUGAGUGGAGAGUGGUUGAGGUUUCAGCUUGCCUUUGGGCAGGUGUAUUGCCAACGCCGAGUCAUUGACAGCGAGACGGCGGUU
This 391-nucleotide ribosomal RNA is filed under the name Yarrowia lipolytica. RNAcentral's name for it is "partial 28S ribosomal RNA". It matches the Rfam family "Eukaryotic large subunit ribosomal RNA", at positions 101 to 507 of the family's 3401-position model. Lineage: Eukaryota; Fungi; Ascomycota; Dipodascomycetes; Dipodascales. The record is from RNAcentral.